AGCGGGCAAUCUAGUAUGAUGUUUAUGUUGAAUAUAAAAAUAUAUAAACAAUAUUCUCUAAAAGUUUAAACUAAUAUGGUAUCAAAAUAAGAGGUUUUGAGUUGUUCUAUUUUUACUUAAAUAAGAGGAAUUUUUGAACUCCAUGUUUUGGGGCAAUCAAAGUUUGGGGUCCCGAAGUAUAUGAACACCGUGUAGGGAUGCAAAUGGAUCCAGGUUGGUGCAGUUUCUGUCCCAAUCCGUCCUGAAUGGGGCGACGAGUGGAA
RNAcentral lists this long non-coding RNA (263 nucleotides) under Ananas comosus (pineapple). Its description in RNAcentral is "long non-coding RNA (ACOM_LNC020765)". The record is from RNAcentral. Lineage: Eukaryota; Viridiplantae; Streptophyta; Magnoliopsida; Poales; Bromeliaceae.